This 892-nucleotide ribosomal RNA is filed under the name Hodophilus foetens. RNAcentral describes it as "LSU rRNA". It matches the Rfam family "Eukaryotic large subunit ribosomal RNA", at positions 73 to 952 of the family's 3401-position model. The record is from RNAcentral. Lineage: Eukaryota; Fungi; Basidiomycota; Agaricomycetes; Agaricales; Clavariaceae.
GAUUCCCCUAGUAACUGCGAGUGAAGAGGGAAGAGCUCAAAUUUAAAAUCUGGCGGUCUCUGGCUGUCCGAGUUGUAAAUUAGAGAAGUGUUAUCCGCUCAAGCCUGUGCAAAAGUCUCUUGGAAAAGGGCAUCAUAGAGGGUGACAAUCCCGUCUUUGGCACAGAUCACUUGCGCUUUUGUGAUGCGCUCUCGAUGAGUCGAGUUGUUUGGGAAUGCAGCUCUAAAUGGGUGGUAAAUUCCAUCUAAAGCUAAAUAUGGGCGAGAAACCGAUAGCGAACAAGUACCGUGAGGGAAAGAUGAAAAGCACUUUGAAAAGAGAGUCAAACAGUAUGUGAAAUUGUUGAAAGGGAAACGCUUGAAGUCAGUCGUAUCCUUCAGAAAUCAACCUGACCUUUGGCUGGGUGCAUUUUUUGUUGGAUGGGUCAGCAUCAAUUUUGAUCAUUGGAUAAAGGACUUGGGAAUGUGGCAUCUUUGGAUGUGUUAUAGCCUCUGUUUGUAUACAAUGAUUGGGAUUGAGGAACUCAGUGUGACUUUGGUUUGGAGGUAUUGCACCUCACACACGCACUUAGGAUGCUGGCAUAAUGGCUUUAAUCGACCCGUCUUGAAACACGGACCAAGGAGUCUAACAUGCAUGCGAGUGUUUGGGUGGAAAACUCAAGCGCGCAAUGAAAGUGAAAGUUGAGAACCCCUUUGGGGUGCAUCGACGCCCGGACUUGAUCUUUUGUGACGGACCUGCGGUAGAGCAUGUAUGUUGGGACCCGAAAGAUGGUGAACUAUGCCUGAUAGGGUGAAGUCAGAGGAAACUCUGAUGGAAGCUCGUAGCGAUUCUGACGUGCAAUCGAUCGUCAAUUUGGGUAUAGGGGCGAAGACUAAUCGACCAUCUAGUAGCU